UCCGUAGGUGAACCUGCGGAGGGAUCAUUACACAAUAUGAAAGCGGGCUGGCAUCCUUCGGGGUUACAGCCUUGCUGAAUUAUUCACCCGUGUCUUUUGCGUACUUCUUGUUUCCUUGGUGGGUUCGCCCACCAUAGGACAAACCAUAAACCUUUUGUAAUUGCAAUCAGCGUCAGUAAAAAAAAUUAAUAAUUACAACUUUCAACAACGGAUCUCUUGGUUCUGGCAUCGAUGAAGAACGCAGCGAAAUGCGAUAAGUAGUGUGAAUUGCAGAAUUCAGUGAAUCAUCGAAUCUUUGAACGCACAUUGCGCCCUUUGGUAUUCCAAAGGGCAUGCCUGUUCGAGCGUCAUUUGUACCCUCAAGCUUUGCUUGGUGUUGGGCGUCUUGUCUCUAGCUUUGCUGGAGACUCGCCUUAAAGUAAUUGGCAGCCGGCCUACUGGUUUCGGAGCGCAGCACAAGUCGCACUCUCUAUCAGCAAAGGUCUAGCAUCCAUUAAGCCUUUUUUUCAACUUUUGACCUCGGAUCAGGUAGGGAUACCCGCUGAACUUAAGCAUAUCAAUAAGCGGAGGA
This 571-nucleotide ribosomal RNA is filed under the name uncultured fungus. Its description in RNAcentral is "eukaryotic LSU rRNA". The stretch from base 197 to 350 matches the Rfam family "5.8S ribosomal RNA". The record is from RNAcentral. Lineage: Eukaryota; Fungi.